Molecule: long non-coding RNA, 1459 nt
Filed under: Physcomitrium patens
Lineage: Eukaryota; Viridiplantae; Streptophyta; Bryopsida; Funariales; Funariaceae
Description: long non-coding RNA (PPAT_LNC001263)
Source: RNAcentral
CAAAACAUUUUUAUUUUUAUUUUUUAACAUACUGUUGUCUUGCGGUUUCUGUGUUUUAAGUCGUUUGCGGUGUGUUUUGGUCAGAGUGUCACGCAAUAUUUCAGAGGCGAAGGAAGAGCAGCUGAUAUGAAGCGAGAGGCUGAAGCGGGUGCUUUUAGAUCAGCUGUUUGAUUUAGUUGCACUCUUAUUGAUAGACCAGAGUUUCAUUGUUUAAAUAUCUCUUGUAGAGAUUUGCAGUUUGUUAGGAAAGCUUGCAUUGGCACAGAUUGUGUUGCUGAAGUUCAGUAUGAAAUACGGACAGUAGUGAGGGUUUUUCACCUGCCUUUUAACCCUGGCAUGGUCCUCAAUGGAAUUGUCCACCGCAUAGUUGCUUUUGUUAAGUGCAGAUGAUAAUUUGUCUCAUUUAAGUUAUUGGGAUUGAAUAAUUUUAUUGACCCAAAGAAAUGAAUUGGGAGUACAUUGGGUGUCAAUAUUAAUGUUGGAAUAUUAAGUUUGAAGUUAAAUGUUUUUCAUAAUAAUCUAACACCCUGCAAUCAUGGUAAAAUUUAAUUGCUUGAUUAGGUAAUCUAAUAGAAGUUAAGUGGUGUCCUGCUGCAAGAGCCUUUUUAUUUUCUAUAAGUUUUCUAGAAAUCAUUAUUUUCUGAAUUGCUAGUCUAAUAAUAUUUUUCUUGACUAAUAUUAUAUUCUAACAUACAACAAAAGUCUGCUUUGAUGUUAAGACUAAUAAUAUGAUUCAUGGAAUCAUUAAAAAAUGUUAUUAAUCUUCAAAACAUACAGAAUGUCAAUCGUAAUUGAAGUCUUUCUUUUGCGAUUGUCUUCAUUUAUUGUGGAGGUAUUUUUUACAAUUUUUUCUUUAUGAUAUAAAUAAUGUUGUCUCCUGGAAUUUGUGGUUGGUCCACCUCAAAUAGGCGAUUUUUACAGAAAAUUGAAGAGUUAUGUCAAAAUUUGUAUACAGUACCCAUUUAAAAAGAUGUGUAUAUUUCAAAAUUGGUAGAAUCUACAUACUUAGAAUGGAAAAAAAUAGAAAAUAAAAAAUAAAUAAAAAUACUCAUUGCACUUCAUGACCUCUUAUUAAUUUAUACAUUAGAUAUCAAAUACAUUAUAAUUUAUGCAGAUUUUCUUGUAUAAUCAUGUUCAAUUCCUGAUUAAAUAAUCAAAAGUCACAAAUACACUGGUAUUAUUUUUUAAAAGUUUUGUAUGUCAGAAAUUUUGUCAGGUCUAGUAUUCUAUUUACAGAACCCAUCAAUCAAUGUAACGAGUACCACAUUUUUUGCCACUGUUUGACCAAUAUGAAGAGAUAUGUAAUAAAUAUGAUUAAAUAAAGCCAUUAAAAACUCUUACCAAACCUUUCUAGUAAUUGAAAAGCUUAAAAAUUUUCAUGACUUGUUUUACUCUUUUUCUUAUCCAUUAUUUUUUAGAUUAUUUAUUCAAAUUUAUUUUAUAAAAACCAUGAUUAAAA